This 2116-nucleotide long non-coding RNA is filed under the name Ananas comosus (pineapple). Its description in RNAcentral is "long non-coding RNA (ACOM_LNC022259)". Lineage: Eukaryota; Viridiplantae; Streptophyta; Magnoliopsida; Poales; Bromeliaceae. The record is from RNAcentral.
GUGAAUGAUAUAUCGCUUUGAGGAACCGAUAAAUGAUUCACUAUUUUCUGUAAGUGAUUAUCGCUUUGAGGAACCGAUAAAUGAUUCACUAUUUUCUGUAAGUGAUUAGGAGUGAAAACUGAUUGAAUAUUAUAUGAAAAUAUCUGUAUCCUUAUUCGAUAAUAUCCAAAUUCAGAUAGAAAGCAUCCGGAUUUGGUCGGAUACAGAUAUGGUUUUAGAAAGUUAAAUUUUUUCGGAUAUCUAGAAAAAACGAAUACGGAUUCUGUAUCUGAACUUUUAGUACUAUUGUUUUUAUGCUCUUUAUAUUUUCGGAUCUGCUCUGCCUGCCAGGCCUGCCCUAAUCCUUUUUCUCCAAAGGUGAUCACUUGAUUUCUUUUUAAUGAAUAAAACCUAUUUAUUCGCGAUCUCUCUCUCUCUCCGGCAUCUGCUCUCUUACCCUAAUCAUUUCUUCAUUCUCUCACCCCAUUAUCAAACCGAUCGUGGCCUGAGAUUGGCCAUCUACGAAUAGGACAACGAAGACAUAGUCCCUACAUCCCUCAUCUCUCUCGUCUCUCUAUUUUUCUUUGUCGCGGACUCUCCCUAUCUCUGAUCAUCGCCACCGACUACCUCCUCUUAUUUCGUUCGAGCUUGAACGACGCUCAAGUCUUGACCCACUCUCGCAUAGAGAACUUGGGUUAUCUGAUCUUUUUGUCCAAUUGUUCUUCUUACAGUAAGCUUUAUCUUAUACUUUCUAAGCUUCAUUUUAUACUUUCAAGUUUUUAACUAUGUACACAAUUUUUUUUUUUUUAAUUUUCAUGAAUUUUUAUGGCUUUUAUAGUUUAGAGUUUAUGGCUUUUUUAUUAUUUAAUUUUGUUCAGAAUUUUUAAUAGAUUUUCUCCUUUAUUUUUGUUUUAUUUUCAUUUAAUUAGAUUAAGAAUAUGUGAUUUUUUUCUAUACAAAUGCAAAAUAUCUAAUAGUAUUUCUCUAAUAGAAGAAACAUGUAAUAAUGCUGCUAAAAAAAAUAAAAAGUUAUCUAAAAUCCGGAAUGAUUUUGAAAAAAUAGUUGAAAUUAAUGGAGGAUCAAGUGAUAAUACAAGUAAGGAAUUAAUUAUGAAUGAAUCAAAUUCCAAAAAUCAGGAAUCCACCAAUUAUGACAAGUAUUCAAAUCAUAAGCAAUUGUGGAAACUCAAGAAUGACAAUAUCUCAAGUAUGGCCACCACUCCAAAUAGAAAAUAUUUGAAUUCAAAUAUUGUACAUUUCUAGAAAAUAAUUAUGUAAAUAUUGUAAUCCCAAGAAUAAUGGGAUUAUAUUUUGUAUUCAAUAAUUCUAUAUAUUGAGAAUUGGUUUUGUGUGUUCUCCAUUUGAGGACAACAACCAUUUUCCACCAAUUAUAAUUUUCUUUAUGAUAUCAGAGCUAUAAGACAUUAGUCAUCAUACUUGAUCUAAUGGCCACUUCUAGUGCUUCUUCUUCUACCACAAGCCCUACAUUUGUUAUUGCUAACAUUAGCAAUUUAGUCUCCAUUAAGCUUGAUCGCGAUUUUCGCCACUAGGCGGUAAGCAAUAGAUAAUUGACUCAAGAUCAAAUCGGGUGAUAUAGCUUGGCUAAGGUAAAAGAACCUUACCAACAGAUUAAAUUUUGCAAUGAAUAGUAAAAUAGAAAGUAGAAGAUGAAUACCUACAUGCAUUGAUUUCAUUAUUGCAUUUAGUGAGGCAUAAGCAUGAUGUUUAUUAUUUGCAUAAAAUUAUAUAUUGAUAUUUGUUGGACUAACUUGCUUAUGUUGUUUCUUUUGGACCUCGUGGGUCGAGCUCUUCCCUUGGGUAGCAGUACCCACUUAGAACUAUAUUUAUAAUUUUCACCCCCAUAUUUUUCAGGUCCAAACGUGAGCGGCGCGGCGGCACGAGAAAAGGACGUAGCUCGAUAGAUUGCGCCCUACCACUUGUGACCAGAGAUAGAUAUACCCUAGGUCAGCAUAGUUUAGGGGUAUAUGGAAGAAAGAAAUAAAAUUAUAAUAAAGUAGGUUGUAUUUGUAUGAAAAAGAAUGUUAAUAUAAUGUGAAUGUGACGAAUACCUGUAAUAGCACAGUGAUUUUAUGUUUUGAUGCCUCCUUAGGCAAUCUAUGUAUACAUUCUGUUCCUA